UACGUAGGUGGCAAGCGUUGUCCGGAAUUACUGGGCGUAAAGGGCGCGUAGGCGGUUUUUUAAGUCAGAUGUGAAAACCCGGGGCUUAACUUCGGGAGUGCAUUUGAAACUGGGGAACUAGAGUGCAGGAGAGGAAAGCGGAAUUCCUAGUGUAGCGGUGAAAUGCGUAGAUAUUAGGAGGAACACCAGUGGCGAAGGCGGCUUUCUGGACUGUAACUGACGCUGAGGCGCGAAAGCGUGGGGAG
Molecule: ribosomal RNA, 245 nt
Filed under: uncultured bacterium
Lineage: Bacteria
Description: partial 16S ribosomal RNA
Rfam family: Bacterial small subunit ribosomal RNA
Source: RNAcentral